AGCGAACGCUGGCGGCAGGCCUAACACAUGCAAGUCGAACGGAUCCUUCGGGAUUAGUGGCGGACGGGUGAGUAACACGUGGGAACGUGCCCUUUGGUUCGGAACAACUCAGGGAAACUUGAGCUAAUACCGGAUGUGCCCUUCGGGGAAAGAUUUAUCGCCAUUGGAGCGGCCCGCGUCUGAUUAGCUAGUUGGUGAGGUAACGGCCCACCAAGGCGACGAUCAGUAGCUGGUCUGAGAGGAUGAUCAGCCACACUGGGACUGAGACACGGCCCAGACUCCUACGGGAGGCAGCAGUGGGGAAUCUUGCGCAAUGGACGAAAGCCUGACGCAGCCAUGCCGCGUGAAUGAUGAAGGUCUUAGGAUUGUAAAAUUCUUUCAGCGGGGACGAUAAUGACGGUACCCGCAGAAGAAGCUCCGGCUAACUUCGUG
This 432-nucleotide ribosomal RNA is filed under the name uncultured bacterium. Its description in RNAcentral is "partial 16S ribosomal RNA". It matches the Rfam family "Bacterial small subunit ribosomal RNA", at positions 29 to 507 of the family's 1533-position model. The record is from RNAcentral.